This 478-nucleotide ribosomal RNA is filed under the name uncultured bacterium. Its description in RNAcentral is "partial 16S ribosomal RNA". It matches the Rfam family "Bacterial small subunit ribosomal RNA", at positions 28 to 507 of the family's 1533-position model. The record is from RNAcentral.
GAUGAACGCUGGCGGCGUGCUUAACACAUGCAAGUCGAACGAGAAAUGUAGACGGAAACCUUCGGGCGGAAGCCUUCAUUUCGAGUGGCGGACGGGUGAGUAACGCGUGGGUAACCUGCCUCAUACAGGGGGAUAACAGUUGGAAACGACUGUUAAUACCGCAUAAGACCACAGCAUCGCAUGAUGCGGGGGUAAAAACUCCGGUGGUAUGAGAUGGACCCGCGUUCGAUUAGCCAGUUGGCGGGGUAACGGCCCACCAAAGCGACGAUCGAUAGCCGAUCUGAGAGGAUGACCGGCCACAUUGGGACUGAGACACGGCCCAAACUCCUACGGGAGGCAGCAGUGGGGGAUAUUGCACAAUGGGGGAAACCCUGAUGCAGCGACGCCGCGUGAGUGAAGAAGUACUUCGGUAUGUAAAGCUCUAUCAGCAGGGAAGAAAAUGACGGUACCUGAGUAAGAAGCCCCGGCUAACUACGUG